This 335-nucleotide unclassified non-coding RNA is filed under the name soil metagenome. RNAcentral's name for it is "partial contains 5.8S ribosomal RNA, internal transcribed spacer 2, and large subunit ribosomal RNA". The stretch from base 1 to 120 matches the Rfam family "5.8S ribosomal RNA", at positions 35 to 154 of the family's 154-position model. The record is from RNAcentral.
GAUGAAGAACGUAGCGAAAUGCGAUAAGUAAUGUGAAUUGCAGAAUUCAGUGAAUCAUCGAAUCUUUGAACGCACAUUGCGCCCGCCAGUAUUCUGGCGGGCAUGCCUGUUCGAGCGUCAUUUCAACCAUCAAGCCCCCGGCUUGUGUUGGGGACCUGCGGCUGCCGCAGGCCCUGAAAAGCAGUGGCGGGCUCGCUGUCACACCGAGCGUAGUAGCAUACAUCUCGCUCUGGGCGUGCUGCGGGUUCCGGCCGUUAAACCACCUUCAUAACCCAAGGUUGACCUCGGAUCAGGUAGGAAGACCCGCUGAACUUAAGCAUACAAUAAGCGGAGGA